Molecule: ribosomal RNA, 252 nt
Filed under: uncultured bacterium
Lineage: Bacteria
Also listed under: 1 other name
Description: partial 16S ribosomal RNA
Rfam family: Bacterial small subunit ribosomal RNA
Source: RNAcentral
UACGUAGGUGGCAAGCGUUGUCCGGAAUUACUGGGUGUAAAGGGAGCGUAGGCGGGACAGCAAGUCCAGUGUGAAAUCUAUCGGCUCAACCGAUAGCUGCGCUGGAAACUGUGGUUCUUGAGUGAAGUAGAGGCAGGCGGAAUUCCUAGUGUAGCGGUGAAAUGCGUAGAUAUUAGGAGGAACACCAGUGGCGAAGGCGGCCUGCUGGACUUUUACUGACGCUGAGGCUCGAAAGUGUGGGUAGCAAACAGG